RNAcentral lists this long non-coding RNA (1898 nucleotides) under Homo sapiens (human). RNAcentral describes it as "long intergenic non-protein coding RNA 882". The record is from RNAcentral. Lineage: Eukaryota; Metazoa; Chordata; Mammalia; Primates; Hominidae.
UGAGUUCUCAGCGCCUCCCGCCGCGCAGGCUCGGCGUUGGCCUCCGCGGCCCGUGCGAGUGCGCCCUUCUCGGGUCCCCUAGGUCGCGGGGCAGCCGGGGCGGAAGGGGCUUGUUCAUUAUUUUGAGAGUUUGUUGUGAACGUCAUAACCUUUCGUCCUUAAAUAUUGCCGAUACUUGACCUACGCAAGAGACAAUGUCAUGUGAUUCAGCCUAAUAUCUCAGAGGAUGCAGCAUUCAAGGUUCUAUCUUGGAAGCAGAGACUGUGCCCUCACCAGAUGCUGAACCUGCUGAGCACCCUGAUCUUCCACUUCACCUUCAUCAGAACUGGACGCGCAUGAAAUUUGGUGCCGUGACUCGGAUCGGCGGACCUCCCUUAGGAGAUCAAUCCCCUGUCCUCCUGCUCUUUGCUCCAUGAGAAAGAUCCACCUACGACCUAAGGUCCUCAGACCAACCAGCCCAAGAAACAUCUCACCAAUUUCAAAUCCGAAAUCCUUCAUCUAAUCUGGCAAACACAUGUGGCAGGUUUUUCUCACCGCAUAAAAUAUGUUAUAGAGUAGUCCAUCUAUUUCUCUUCCAUGGAAGAGUUCAUCUGGUAGAUUGGACUACCACUUUUCCUUGUGGAGACCUAUUCUGUUGGGUUAGAGAUGACAGAAAAUCUUAUUUGUCGGUUGGUUUGUUUGUUCAAGAAUACACUGACCUUCUACAAGAAAGGAGAGCUCUUUGACACCUGGAAAUUUUACAGAAGCUUGGGACAGCUCUGAAUGGCAACACGGUCCUGAGAUAUGUGAUUACCUGGGACUUUCAUUGGACCUGCAUUUCAGCUCUACUCUCCUCACUGCCCUAUGCUGCUUUGACCCUAAAAGUGAAGCCAGCUUGGCCAGGUGCAGUGACUCACACCUGUAAUCCCAGCACUUUGGGAGGCCGAGGUGGGCAAAUCAAGAAGUCAGGAAAUCGAGACCACCCUGGCCAACAUUGUGAAACACCAUCUCUACUAAAACACAAAAAAAUUAGCCAGGUGUGGUGGCACGCACCUGUAGUCCCAGCUACUCGGGAGGCUGAGGCAGGGGAAUCACUUGAACCCGUGAGGAGGAAAUUGCAGCGAGCCAAGAUCGCGCCACUGCACCCCAGCCUGGGCGACAGAGAGAGACUCCAUCUCAAAAACAAAACAAAACAAAACAAAAAAAACAAAAAGUGAAGCCAACUCAAUUGUCUCAUAGAACUGAUCUUUACGGUGUUUUUAAAUAAACAUAGAAAUUGGCCCUCCCAGUCUUAAAACUUCAAAAACUUACAUUUGUCUUACCUCAGUUCCUUUCUCAGGAAUCCAAUCAUCAAGGCUCCCAGAUAGUAUCAAUGAACGGAAACUUACCAGAUCACGAUAUCUGGACAAUGAGAUGUCAGAUCCCCCUCAUCCAUCCUGAUUACCUAACUGACUACCUGCUUCCUGUUGGCCAACUACUCUUCCUUACCCCUCCCUAAUUCUUGUUUUCCCACAAAUGGUUACAUUUCUGUCCUGCUAUAGAAGCCCUUAAUUUUAAUUGGUCGAGGAGAUGGAUUUGAGACUGAUUUUUUGCUCUCCUUGGCUGUUGCACCUGAAUAGCCUUUUUCCCUGGCAAUACUUUUUGUCUCAGUGAUUGGCUUUCUGUGCAGUGAGCAAUGGGACCAAACUUCUGGUGUUUUGGUAACAAAUUUUGGUUUCCUGACUGUGAAUGCAUUGCUUGUGACUCAGCUGCCAUGAGCUGGGAGAGUUUCAAAAGCCCUCUAAGCAGCUACCUGACCAUUUUGGCCAGAGGUGGAUUUUCGUCUCUCCCCAUUUGGGCCCACUUCUGCCAACCCCAACCAUGUUCCUGAUUGCCUAGGAAGAACAGCCUUUGAAAUUUGACGUCUAUGUACAGAAAGG